This is a long non-coding RNA of Felis catus (domestic cat), 815 nucleotides long. RefSeq lists it as uncharacterized. The transcript is spliced from 2 exons. The record is from RefSeq and is a predicted model, not a curated record. Lineage: Eukaryota; Metazoa; Chordata; Mammalia; Carnivora; Felidae.
UCCAGGCUCUGAGCCGUCCGCACAGAGCCCGACGCGGGGCUCGAACUCACGGACCGCGAGAUCAUGACCGGAGCUGAGGUCAGUUGCGUAACCGACUGAGCCACCCAGGCGCCCUUAGUCUGACUUUAAAACUCACUCUCUGUCCAUUUCUCCAGACUGUCCCCGUCUGCGACAAGUCGGGCUGGGUUAGAACGCGCUCGAGAGACACGGGUGCGCUCCCCCCCUCCCCGCUGUCGCCCCAGCCCCUAGAGGCGUUGGACCGCGUGAGCCCCGACAAGUCAGGCCAGGGCGAGCGUGUAGUAGACUCCGCUGAUGCGUCACCCGCGUCAACCCGGCAGCACAGGAGGAGGAGGAUGCUGGGCCUGCCCCGAAUUUGCUUCCUGUGCCUUUGAGAUUUGGAGGGACACCGCACAGCACGAUGCCUCUCCUAGCACAAUAAUUUAAUGUUUCUUUCCCGUGCUUCGAACACUGCACUUCCUCCAGGAAGCCUUCCCGGAUUGAUUUUAUCUUAAAGAUGGAGAGAAAUGAUUUCAGUUUAGAGGACACAGAGCCAGAGCCGCUCAGCGCAUUGCCUGGCCCAGAUGGAAUGUUACCGGCAACGCUGUUGUCCCCGGACUCCUCGUCCUGUGCCCGUUCCCUUGUCCCCGCUGCCUCCCCAGUCCAGUAGGGAGAACGGAUGGUCCAGUGUGGUGGCCGGGGAUUUCCGAAACUAUGCCACUCCGUCUCGAUCGCCAGAUAUCCUUCCCUGUACUCACUCUCCUCCCACGUCUGACACAGGCGUUGUUGGUCUCAAAUAAAAAGUCGCUGAACUGUCA